RNAcentral lists this ribosomal RNA (450 nucleotides) under uncultured bacterium. RNAcentral describes it as "bacterial SSU rRNA". It matches the Rfam family "Bacterial small subunit ribosomal RNA", at positions 29 to 524 of the family's 1533-position model. The record is from RNAcentral.
AGCGAACGCUGGCGGCAGGCUUAACACAUGCAAGUCGAGCGGGCACUUCGGUGUCAGCGGCAGACGGGUGAGUAACACGUGGGAACGUGCCCUUCGGUUCGGAAUAACUCAGGGAAACUUGAGCUAAUACCGGAUACGCCCUUUUGGGGAAAGGUUUACUGCCGAAGGAUCGGCCCGCGUCUGAUUAGCUAGUUGGUGGGGUAAUGGCCUACCAAGGCGACGAUCAGUAGCUGGUCUGAGAGGAUGAUCAGCCACACUGGGACUGAGACACGGCCCAGACUCCUACGGGAGGCAGCAGUGGGGAAUAUUGGACAAUGGGCGCAAGCCUGAUCCAGCCAUGCCGCGUGAGUGAUGAAGGCCUUAGGGUUGUAAAGCUCUUUCGACGGGGACGAUAAUGACGGUACCCGUAGAAGAAGCCCCGGCUAACUUCGUGCCAGCAGCCGCCGUAAG